AGUUUGAUCCUGGCUCAGAUUGAACGCUGGCGGCAGGCCUAACACAUGCAAGUCGAGCGGUAACAGUCCUUCGGGAGCUGACGAGCGGCGGACGGGUGAGUAACGCGUGGGAAUCUGCCCAACAGAGGGGGAUAGCCCGGGGAAACUCGGAUUAAUACCGCAUAACGUCUACGGACCAAAGCAGGGGAUCUUCGGACCUUGCGCUGUUGGAUGAGCCCGCGUCAGAUUAGCUAGUUGGUAGGGUAAAGGCCUACCAAGGCGGGGAUGUGUAGCUGGCCUGAGAGGGUGGCCAGCCACACUGGGACUGAGACACGGCCCAGACUCCUACGGGAGGCAGCAGUGGGGAAUAUUGGACAAUGGGCGCAAGCCUGAUCCAGCCAUGCCGCGUGUGUGAAGAAGGCCCUAGGGUUGUAAAGCACUUUAAGCUGGGAGGAAGGCCUUGAGGUUAAUACCCUUAAGGAUUGACGCUACCAGCAGAAUAAGCACCGGCUAACUCCGUGCCAGCAGCCGCGGUAAUACGGAGGGUGCAAGCGUUAAUCGGAAUUACUGGGCGUAAAGCCCACGUAGGUGGCCUGUUAAGUUGGAUGUGAAACCCCUGGGCUUAACCUGGGACGUGCAUCCGAUACUGGCAGGCUAGAGUACGGUAGAGGGAAGUGGAAUUUCCGGUGUAGCGGUGAAAUGCGUACAGAUCGGAAGGAACACCAGUGGCGAAGGCGACUUCCUGGACUGAUACUGACACUGAGGAGCGAAAGCGUGGGUAAGCAAACAGGAUUAGAUACCCCCUGGUAGUCCACGCUGUAAACGAUGUCUGCUAGCCGUUGGAAUCCAUAGAGAUUUUAAGUGGGCGAAGUUAAACCCGAUAAGCAGACCGCCUGGGGGAGUACGGCCGCAAGGUUAAACUCAAAUGAAUUGACGGGGGCCCGCACAAGCGGUGGAGCAUGGGGUUUAAUUCGAAGCAACGCGAAAAACCUUACCAGGGCUUGACAUCCUCGGAACUUUGCAGAGAUGCGAAGGUGCCUCGGGAAUCGAGAGACAGGUGCUGCAUGGCUGUCGUCAGCUCGUGUUGUGAAAUGUUGGGUUAAGUCCCGUAACGAGCGCAACCCUUAUCCCUAGUUGCCAGCGAUUCGGUCGGGAACUCUAGGGAGACUCCCGGUGCACAAACCGGAGGAAGGUGGGGACGACGUCCACUCCCCAUGGCCCUUACGUCCUGGGCUACACACGUGCUACAAUGGUCAGUACAGAGGGUUGCGAACCCGCGAGGUGGAGCCAAUCCCGUAAAACUGAUCGUAGUCCGGAUUGCAGUCUGCAACUCGACUGCAUGAAGUCGGAAUCGCUAGUAAUCGCGAAUCAGAAUGUCGCGGUGAAUAUGUUCCCGGGCCUUGUACACACCGCCCCUCACACCAUGGGAGUGUAUUGCACCAGAAGUAGCUAGCUUAACCUUCGGGAGGGCGGUUACCACGGUGUGAUUCAUGACUGGGGUGAAGUCGUAACAAGGUA
Molecule: ribosomal RNA, 1497 nt
Filed under: uncultured Gammaproteobacteria bacterium
Lineage: Bacteria; Pseudomonadati; Pseudomonadota; Gammaproteobacteria
Description: bacterial SSU rRNA
Rfam family: Bacterial small subunit ribosomal RNA
Source: RNAcentral